RNAcentral lists this ribosomal RNA (253 nucleotides) under uncultured bacterium. RNAcentral's name for it is "partial 16S ribosomal RNA". It matches the Rfam family "Bacterial small subunit ribosomal RNA", at positions 524 to 776 of the family's 1533-position model. The record is from RNAcentral.
UACGGAGGGUGCGAGCGUUAAUCGGAAUUACUGGGCGUAAAGGGUGCGUAGGUGGGUUAAUAAGUUAUUGUUUAAAUUCAUGGGCUUAACCUGUGGUAGUGCAGUAAUACUGUUAAUCUAGAGUGUAGUAGAGGAUAGGGGAAUUUCUGGUGUAGCGGUGAAAUGCGUAGAUAUCAGAAGGAACACCGGUGGCGAAGGCGCCUAUCUGGGCUAAGACUGACACUGAGGCACGAAAGCUUGGGUAGCGAACAGG